CGGGUAAGUUCCGACCUGCACGAAUGGCGUAACGAUGGCCACACUGUCUCCACCCGAGACUCAGUGAAAUUGAAAUCGCAGUGAAGAUGCUGUGUAUCCGCGGCUAGACGGAAAGACCCCGUGAACCUUUACUAUAGCUUCACAUUGGUAUUGGGUAAUUCAUGUGUAGGAUAGGUGGGAGACUUUGAAGCGGCGUCGCUAGGCGUUGUGGAGUCAACCUUGAAAUACCACCCUUUGCUUAUCUAGAGCCUAACUCAGAGAUGAGGACAGUGCUUGGUGGGUAGUUUGACUGGGGUGGUCGCCUCCAAAA
Molecule: ribosomal RNA, 310 nt
Filed under: Isochrysis galbana
Lineage: Eukaryota; Haptophyta; Isochrysidales; Isochrysidaceae
Description: partial Bacterial large subunit ribosomal RNA
Rfam family: Bacterial large subunit ribosomal RNA
Source: RNAcentral